RNAcentral lists this long non-coding RNA (1338 nucleotides) under Coturnix japonica (Japanese quail). Its description in RNAcentral is "lncRNA (ENSCJPG00005015682.1)". The record is from RNAcentral. Lineage: Eukaryota; Metazoa; Chordata; Aves; Galliformes; Phasianidae.
GCCAACACGUGCUGGCCAUCUCUGAUGACAUAGUGCAGUCAGAACAAGGUGUGAACUGAUGUGGUAUUGAUUCAUUUCUGGGCAAGGGAGAAGAAAAUGGAUAUCAAAGUGAGAGCAUACGUGACAUGGAGUCAGGUGCAGGCAGCCUCUGGCUAUGGUGGACACUGUUCCCUGCAUGGCAUGCCAAGGUGGAGGUAUGUCCGUGCUGCACUUGUCGCUAUGAAGGAAGAAGACCCCAUUUCCUAUAUUUUGAAGUUCUAAAGGAGGACCAAACGGCUGUUCUCCAUGCAUUCAUACCAACAGAAUUUCAUUCCUCUAUUAUUAUCUGCAUCCUCUGAGAUGACAGCCCAGCUUUCAUGCCAAUUUAGGAGUAAAUCACUGCCUUGGUUGUUCUCCUGCACUUGGUCUCAUCAGCACUUAACCUGUGCAGCCCUCCUUGUUCGCAGCCUGCAGGAGCACCUCCUUGCAGCCUAUCUGUGAUUCCCACAUGGAUCAGCUGCAGGAGUAUUAAGCGAUUAUUUACACCCAGUACUUUGGCAUUUUAAAGCAAUUUCAGUUAGCCAGAGUAUGAAGAAUUGGGAAAAGCAGGACUGCAGUGGUAGCCUCACUGCUAAAAACACAGAGAAGGCUCCUAGCUGAAGAUCUUCUGGAACUAAAACGGUGUUGGAUUUGCUUCUAUAUAUAAGUAUGCAGUUCCAGAAGCUCUGCUGCACUUCUAAAGGUGAUAUCUGAGUCUCUCCAGUCAUCACAAUCCAUGACAGCACAUUAUUUGAUUUCAUACAGCAUAUGGAUGAUUCAGGGGAUGAGGGGCAUUAUUAUCAGGCACUGUGUUGAUGUGUGGGGCUGCCCAAUAGCUCAGAAAUCCAGCACAGCCUUCCCAGCAAAGCUGCCCUGCUUCUGCUCAGGAGUCACUGAUGCUGGUCUGCAGAACCUCCGCUCAAAGAGCUUGAAAGGACUAUUUUAGCAGCUGGUGCAAACCAUCCAUCAGUGCUCCUGUCUUCGCUCUAGCUUGCACCAUUCUGGUUUGCCUUACUUCAGUUAUGAUGAAAUUUAGAGGAACUGCUCCUGACAAAUGAGACUCUCUAGUGGGUUGCUUCUUUAAACCAUUAACACAUGCUUAAACAUUGACAGAACUUAGAAUGAGAACUUUGAAAAGGAUGAUCCCUCAUUAUCAAAGGCAGCUGGUGGCAUGCCUCGGAUCACUGCUACGCAGUACUGCAUCAGUGUGAGCAUGGCCUUGUCUGAUCAACCCUAGGCAUGUCAGGAGAGGAGUGGGACAUGCUGCCCUUCAUGUUAUAAAAAUGGGGUGGAAAGCUGUUUGUUUACAGGCAGAACAGG